Aquila chrysaetos chrysaetos is the source of this 236-nucleotide long non-coding RNA. RefSeq lists it as uncharacterized. Lineage: Eukaryota; Metazoa; Chordata; Aves; Accipitriformes; Accipitridae. The transcript has 3 exons. The record is from RefSeq and is a predicted model, not a curated record.
UGGGGAAUGGCUGGACCAGUCUCAACUUCGUGCCUAGACCUUGUCAGCAUGCGAACCAGGAGGCUGGGAAGCAAUUCUCACCCCCUGCAUCCAGCAGGGCCAGAGGAUCAGAACACAUGAAUUGCAAGAGCAGCCUGUCUCCAGGAGUACUUGUGCCUCAAAGACAGCAGCAAGAUUUCCAAGGUGUGGAGACAGAAAUGCCAAGCGUGAUGUCAGCAGGCAGCAGUACAUGGCAC